RNAcentral lists this small RNA (26 nucleotides) under Bombyx mori (domestic silkworm). RNAcentral describes it as "ovarian small RNA-4879". Lineage: Eukaryota; Metazoa; Arthropoda; Insecta; Lepidoptera; Bombycidae. The record is from RNAcentral.
CGCAAAUGGACCUCGAACAGUGAGAA